This 494-nucleotide ribosomal RNA is filed under the name uncultured bacterium. RNAcentral's name for it is "partial 16S ribosomal RNA". It matches the Rfam family "Bacterial small subunit ribosomal RNA", at positions 28 to 507 of the family's 1533-position model. The record is from RNAcentral.
GACGAACGCUGGCGGCGUGCUUAACACAUGCCAGUCGAACGGAAAGGCCUGCUUUCCCUUGUGGAUUGCGGGUACUCGAGUGGCGAACGGGUGAGUAACACGUGAGUGAUCUGCCCCCAACUUGGGUAUAAGCCUGGGAAACUGGGUCUAAUUCCCGAUAGGACUGCAGGGUGGUGCCUGUGGUGGAAAACGAUUUUCUAGUGGUUGGGGAUGAGCUCGCGGCCUAUCAGCUUGUUGGUGGGGUAAUGGCCUACCAAGGCGGCGACGGGUAGCCGGCCUGGGAGGGUGGACGGCCACAUUGGGACUGAGAUACGGCCCAGACUCCGACGGGAGGCAGCAGUGGGGAAUAUUGCACAAUGGGCGGAAGCCUGAUGCAGCGACGCCGCGUGGGGGAUGACGGCCUUCGGGUUGUAAGCUCCUUGCGACCGCGAGGAAGCCACCUGGUUGGAAGGGUGGUGACGGUAGUGGUAGAAGAAGCACCGGCUAACUACGUG